UGAUCAAAUCACGCUGAAACACCGGUUCUCGUUCGAUCCCCGAAGUUAAGCAUCGUAGAGCCAGGUCAGUACUUAGAUGGGGGACCGCUUGGGAACACCUGGUACUGUAAG
Molecule: ribosomal RNA, 111 nt
Filed under: Acanthosepion pharaonis
Lineage: Eukaryota; Metazoa; Mollusca; Cephalopoda; Sepiida; Sepiidae
Source: RNAcentral